CCCUGCGGGCGUAGAGUGUUUGAGAAAGGCUAGUCAGGGAGUCAGUAGCGUUAACCCCCUUCUCUCCGCCCUCUCCUACAUAUGCGAGACUGUGAAAGUGGGGAGAACCUUAUCUCAAACCCGAGAGAUACAGGUUUCCGAGCGUGCCGAGCCGCAGGGGGCGCGGGGGAGCCCGGGGGGCGCCGACGGCUGGGCAAAGUUGGGCGUGUGCUUGUACGCGCCAGCCGUGAGCUAGCAGGCAGCCACUCUGGUUCCCCUCGCACUCCCCCUCCGGAGAAUUCCCCGAGAAGGCGGGCGCCGGCUUUGGGCCCGGGAUAGACCUGCGGCGGCGGCGGGAACGGCCACGCACAGGGCAUGCUGCUUGGUUCCAUUCCUCAGCCUCCCUCGCAGCUGAAUGUGCACUUGUGACCAGUAGAAUGAGAGUGGAUGCUAUGUCUCAUUUCCUCCUGCAGGCAGCCCCACCAUGCUCUCUUUCCUUGUCAACUGAAUGCUGCUACAGGAACCUCAUGAUACCAGAGCCCACAGGGUGGAAGGAAUCUGAAUUGCUGAAUUGCCACAUGGGAGAAGAGCUGCCCAAUGACUGUGAAGCGUGUUUUGGAUUAUCAUAAAUAUUUGCAGGAUAUGAAUUUCAAACAAGAGACUGAAAACUUAAUGGCAGUGGAAAAGCAAAUGGGUGUAUUCGAAGAGACAAGUGAAACAAAGGAAUUGUUUUUGAAAAAGGCCUCCAUAAAUGUGGGAUGAGCUAAGAAGUCUCCUGCUGGGGUAUGAAUGCCUGGCUGCUGUCAUUCUGGAUCUGACUGUGCAGGGAAGACUGGUGGUUUCUCCGUUCAGUAAGUCAACAUCCACUUAUUUCUCUGAUUUUCCAAAUGCUCCUUGUGCCUACCACUUCUCAGUUCUCUUUCUGGCCCCAGAAAUUGCAUCUCCAUGCUUCUCUACCCAGCUCUGUGCUUUAGGAAUGUGAACUCUAUGAACUUUAUCAAUCAGGACUGGCUUUAACCAGUGGAAAGAGUGUACUCCUGCAUUAAAGGGCACCGGGUGUUCCUUUCAUACAACCACAGGUCUCCCUGGGUUCCAGGUCAUGGAUCUACCCCCAUACCCUUUCAUCCAUGUUACCUGUAGCCACCUCUCGCUCUUGCUAGCUCUGAGUAUUUCUCCAUCCCAUGGAUGUUGGUUUCCCCUUGUAAAAUUAAACAAAACAGAGAUACAUAGUUAUGUGUAAAAUGGAAAUGCUUUAAAAUAAUGAUAUAAGAACUUGAAAAAUAUAUGAUAACAAGUGUUUGGAGAUGAUUAUUCUCAAAGAAGAAUUUAUUUCUUUACAGGGAAUUCAUCAAAAAAUUAAAUAGU
Molecule: non-coding RNA, 1344 nt
Organism: Oryctolagus cuniculus (rabbit)
Lineage: Eukaryota; Metazoa; Chordata; Mammalia; Lagomorpha; Leporidae
Source: RefSeq, a predicted model, not a curated record